This 3078-nucleotide long non-coding RNA is filed under the name Equus caballus (horse). RNAcentral describes it as "lncRNA (ENSECAG00000058267.1)". The record is from RNAcentral. Lineage: Eukaryota; Metazoa; Chordata; Mammalia; Perissodactyla; Equidae.
AUUAUUUUAAGAGCCAUGGAGAAAUGAAAAUGUAUAAGGAAUUUUAUUAUGAAAUGCUUCUGUUCUGGGUCCUAAGGAGAUCCUGUCUCAGUUCCUAAAAGCUGGCAGGGCAAAGAGGGCCACGAAGUCUUAACUGAGGAUUUCUUAACUUAAUUGAGGUUGGGUUUCGAUUCCAGCCUUGGGAGAAGCCAUAUCGCUCUAACCAUCUCCCUCAUCAACGCCCAAAUCUCACCCAGCCUGCUUGCUGAGAAGUCUGAGAAGAAGGGUCCCUGAUUAUGUGGAGCCACAGCUCUAAUUCACACUCUAUAGUUAAAAGAAAGUUAAGUUCACUCUUGCAAUCUUCCCACAUGUUCUUCUGUGUCAUGAAAUAAAAAAUAAAUACAGAUCAUCAUUUGGAGAGGUCAGUGUCCAGGCAAGCUAAGAAAGAUAGAUUGGCUCAAGCUGGUGGCCUUCCAUCACCCCCCAUAUAGACCUAAUUAUAAAACACACACCACCUUAGUGAGUGAUUUAUUCUCCUGAGAAGAUCUGGAGGAGUUACAGCUUAUUGGAAAGGAAGGCAAAAAUAGGGAUGCUCUUCCAAAUACCAAAAUGAGCAAGAGGAAUUGGACUAGAUUUUAACUAAACAUGAAGACUGAACUUUCCUUCUAGAUCUCAGUGAUGCUGGAAGUGGCCCUCCUGUCUUGUGGCACGCAGCAGCCUCAGGACCUGUUAAACUAUCACUGGAAAGGGGAGGAGGAGAGAAAGCUCCCAGAAAGGGAAGGCAGCUCCCCGCUUCAGGCACAUAAUGCCAAUCAGAACAUGACAUUGUAAUACAUCAAACACGUUUCCAGAAGAAAAGAACUUGUGAAUUUAACAGCAGUUGGGUGUGGGAAGUCCAUCAGCAUUUUCAAAUAAUCAUGUCCAUAAUCAACUAAAAAGGCUAUCUUCAGUUAACAAGAGUUAGUCCUUCAUAUAUGGACUAUUAACAAGACACUAAUGCAAGACUUACUAAUCAGACUUCCCUACUAGACACUACCUUGCAUUUAUUGUUGAGAUGUGACACAUGAUGUUAAUUACAAAAUAAAUGACAUUCAGCCAGAAUCUAAAUAUCUAGGAAUCUAAAAUAACCAGAUCUUAUCUCCCACCCCUAUAGUCUCGUACGAUGAUAAUGAUGCCAACCCAGAAAACCCUGACAUUUUCUGUUUCUAAGGUUUCUCUGAAUCACCAUAAAGAUUUACUUAUGCUCUUGUGAAAUGCAUGUGCAUUGUUUUUACAGUAAGCCAAUUCUUCAAAAAUUGGUAAUCUGAAAUAUGAGACUUCCCAAAGCAGCCUUAGCAAGAAAAUUGCCGCAUUUGCUUCUUAACAGUCCUACCAGAUUACCCCCAAAUUUGGUGAGAUUUCCACUCUUUAGACUUGGGUGGUGAGGAGCAUAGUUAAACAGAUGUGGGCACGAAUCCUCUUCACUUCAACCCGUAAUCUUGGGCACGUUCAUUAACUCUCUGUGCUCAGUUUCCUCAACUGAAAAUCGAGAAAAACAAUACCUAUACCAUGAGGGUAUUCGUGUGGGGACUAAAUGAGAUAAUGUAUAAUAAUGACAUACUGUCCAGUAAUCCUUUAAUAAAUAGGGACUGCUAAUAUCUUCUUUAACUCAAUCACCUGUUUAGAGGGUGAGCAAUGACAGUGAGGCAUAUAAAAAUACACACAACUCUGAGGGAACCCUCUGCACUGGAGAGAAACUACAACCACGCAUGACACACUGACACCAAUCUUAAACCAUUUAUAGGAAAGGGCUAAGUGACCAGCAUACAAUAUUGGUUUAGAAAUUGAGAGACGUUGCAAACACAAAUGGCAGAGCAUUCUUAGUCCUCCAUUCUCACCUGAUCCCAAUAAUGAAGAGCACAGCUGGGAUGGAAGGAGACCAAGCUCCCUACCUUCCUGCCCAGCGCUCUUUACAACCUGCGAGCUGCACGCUGAGGCAUCACAGCCAGGCCGCGGAUGGUGGAUACAAUUAUCUCCCAGCCCUUUGAAGUUCGGCCAGAAAUAUUUGUUGUCAAUAUCACAUGUGAUUAGGACAGUAAUGUCCUCCUGCAAAAGACAGAACCCUUUGUCCACCACCCUCCUUCUGCCACUGCCAGAGAGCAGGAAGUGGGUGAGGGGCCGGCGCCUCUCUCCUCUUGGUCCAAUUUCACACAUUGGUUUUUCAGCAUUAAUAAAUUGGUUACAUUUGCCCUGCAUUUGGCAGCGAGGUUUCUAAUAACACUCUGAUCCCUUCAGAGAACAUGAAUCACUGGCAUGUGGGGGCUCUGGUUACCUCCCCCGACUGUCUGCUGCUAAAGGUCCCACACAUUAGCAAGGGUCAGGCACUCACCCGGGCCAGGGCAAAGUCUAAGACAAGGGCCAUGGCUUCGAGGCACUGCCACGGAGCUCAAAGAUUUUCCCUCAGAGGGAGAACAGAAAACUUUGAGCCCAGGCAAUGUGCAGCUUUCUUCAGCUGUCAAUCCUACCUGGUUUGCAUAUAGAUUAAGAAAACGUGUGAGAUUUUACCACAAGAAUCAGUCCAGAGAAUUCAAGGAGGGUGGUGGUGGGUGGAGAGAGGAUGGGAGGGAAAAAAAUGUGUGAUGCAGAUGUCUGAGAGUUAUGUGCCGCUCAGACACUGCCUCCUUUGUGAAGCCGGGAAUCUUCGGGGAUGGAUAGCCUGAGUGAGGACGGUGUACGAGGCAUCUACUUUUCUCUGAGGCAUGGUUCUUCUGGCUAUAGAAUUAGGUAUGCAAAAGGACCAUGAGCAAGGGGAAGCCCUGGGACUGAGAGGAGGCCCAGAGUCAGCGGCCAGUCACAACUUCAACCUUGGUGGGCGAAGCAGAGGGAGAAAAGAGGGCAAAGAAAUAUCUAAAGAGAGCACAGACAGGUCUAGGACAAACAAAGGGGGUAAAAUGGGAGGAAGAGAUGGAAAGAACAAUGAAAAAAGAGAAUCAAGAAGAGAGAGAGAGGAAAGAAGUUCAAUCAAAUCCAAUAGAUAUGCUAACCUCUACUUGAGAGAAAGGAGUGUUUUUACAUAUAGCAAGUAUAUAUGGAAUCCAGUUGCUGCCCCCCCAGGAGCCC